CUGCAGGUGACAUCCUACGAAAGUAGGCUUCCGCAAGGACACCUGUAGAGGUGCUGCAUGGCUGUCGUCAGCUCGUGUCGUGAGAUGUUGGGUUAAGUCCCGCAACGAGCGCAACCCUUGUCUUCUGUUGCCAUCGGGUUAUGCCGGGCACUCUGAAGAGACUGCCGGUGACAAACCGGAGGAAGGUGGGGAUGACGUCAAGUCAGCAUGGCCUUUAUGUCUGGGGCCACACACGUGCUACAAUGGCCGGUACAAACCGUCGCGAGCUCGCGAGAGGGAGCUAAUCGGAGAAAGCCGGUCUCAGUUCGGAUUGUAGGCUGCAACUCGCCUGCAUGAAGUUGGAAUCGCUAGUAAUCGCGGAUCAGCACGCCGCGGUGAAUACGUUCCCGGGCCUUGUACACACCGCCCGUCACAUCACGAAAGCCGGCUGUACUAGAAGUCGCUGCGCUAACCCGCAAGGGGGGCAAGCGCCUAAGGUAUGGUCGGUGAUUGGGGUG
This 497-nucleotide ribosomal RNA is filed under the name uncultured soil bacterium. RNAcentral's name for it is "bacterial SSU rRNA". It matches the Rfam family "Bacterial small subunit ribosomal RNA", at positions 986 to 1482 of the family's 1533-position model. The record is from RNAcentral.